AUGUUCAUACAUCACUCUGAAGGUUCAAGAUGUGUGGCUAUUUGCAGUUUUGCUAAGGAGAAGUCUGGAAUGUUUGUACUGUCAGUCUGGUGUGGAGAAAAAGACCGCUUAACCCCACCUUCCAGCACCUGCAUUUCAUUCAGCUUUGUGGUUUCAACUGACUGUCAUGUGAAUGAUAAUAUGUGGCAACAGUUUCAGGUUGCCUUCAUUUGUCACUGUGGUGAAUAUUUGUAACUUUGUCUUCUAAGGUAAGUCUACAUACCCAUACUUACUGAUGCACAGUAGCCAGGAUUAUCUGCUUUCUCCCAGAAACCUUAAGAUUAUGUUUACAUUUCAGAUAAGGCCAACUCAAGAGGCAGACAUCACACCAGUCAUUUAACAAGGAAAAUGUAAUAUAAAGAGUAAAG
This 407-nucleotide long non-coding RNA is filed under the name Ovis aries (sheep). RNAcentral describes it as "lncRNA (ENSOARG00000026350.1)". Lineage: Eukaryota; Metazoa; Chordata; Mammalia; Artiodactyla; Bovidae. The record is from RNAcentral.